UUAGACACGAGCAGAGAGAAUUCACACUUCCCGCACAACAGCAGUUCAGUGGCAGCAGCCAUCUUAGUACCGUUCAUCGCCAUGAUCAUCGCAGGCUUCGCUCUGUACCUCUACAAACACAGGAGAAGACCUAAGGUACCGUUUAACGGCUACGCAGGCCAUGAGAACACUAACGGUAGAGCUACGUUUGAGAACCCCAUGUACGACCGGAACAUCCAGCCCACCGACAUCAUGGCCAACGAGACAGAGUUUACAGUCAGCACAGUGUGUACGGCGGUAUAGCCACUGCUACCUCCAGAGGCAGAGGAAGGCAGGAGACCCACCCAUGCCUGAGCCCCCUUUUACAAGAGAGACCACACCCUCAUCUAACUGGCCAGAGGGAAAGGAGAUGCUUUUAUACUGACUACAAUACAUUUGAGACAUUUAAAGAGAAGAAAAUAAUGUUUAUGAAAACAGACAAGGGGACGAUGGCCACAGCGGAGUGGUUGACUUUUCCCUUGUUACUUUCAUUCUCUGAGGAAUAUAUGCUACUGUCUGCCUGGGCAGAAAGGUGGAACUACGCUGUGGAAAUGAUCCUAGAUGAACGUCUAUGUAUUGUUCUUCAAAAACACAAAAAGGGAAUUUUUACGGUCAACUUUCAGCAGAGAUAUUGACGUGUAGCAGCUGAUACACAGGUGGCUUUGAGAGGAGAAGAACCAGUCGGUGUAAACAGCUUGCUGUGUAGCGAACAAAACCUGGCAAGGACCUUUUCCAACUGGACCUAGCUGGAUCUAACGGGAUCUAACUGGAUCUAACGGGAUCUAACUGGAUCUAACUGGAUCUAACUGGAUCUAACUGGACCUAAAGGGACCUAACGGGACCUAACGGGACCUAACGGGAUCUAACGGGAUCUAACGGGAUCUAACGGGACCUAACGGGAUCUAACGGGAUCUUAGUGGAUCUAACUGGAUCUAACGGGACCUAACAGGAUCUAACGGGAUCUAACUGGACCUAGCUGGAUCUAACUGGAUCUAACUGGACCUAACAGGAUCUAACUGGACCUAACGGGAUCUAACGGGAACUAUGCGUCAUGAGAAAGGCACUCUGGACUGCUUGUUUUCUUGGAUAUCAGACCAAUACUUAAUAAUUAGGCCCCAUUUUCUUCCUGGACUCCGGAAGUUUCCUCUGAGGCGUUGACACACUGUGGCUGCAGAUUAAAGGGGGAUGCGAAUAUCAGUAUUGCUUUUUACUCUCUUCCUGUUUUAUCAAGAGGAGAUUCUGCUUGCUAAGGCCACGAUAUCUGGAGUAGAGGUUAAGCGUUAGCUCAGGAAGGCUGCUGGGAAAGCAAUUAUUGAGGAUGUAGUGUCUGUGUGUGUGUGCGUGCGUGCAUGCGUGCGUGCAGGUUAAUUUGGCUACAUCAGCAAUCAAAAGCAUACCUCUUGUUUUUUUGACACCAAUAAAUCAAACAUAGUCUUUUAUGAACAAGUUGUGCUAGAUUCCACAGAUCACUAUGGAUAAUAUCUCUGACGAUGACUCUACAACACAGAUCACUGUGGAUAAUAUCUCUGAUGAUGACUCUAGAACACAGAUCACUAUGGGUAACAGCUCUGACGGUGACUCUAGAACACAGAUCACUAUGGGUAACAGCUCUGACGAUGACUCUAGAACACAGAUCACUGUGGAUAACAUCUCUGACGAUGACUCUAGAACACAGAUCACUGUGGAUAAUAUCUCUGAUGAUGACUCUAGAACACAGAUCACUAUGGGUAACAGCUCUGACGAUGACUCUAGAACACAGAUCACUGUGGAUAAUAUCUCUGAUGAUGACUCUACAACACAGAGUGGUUUCUACACCAGACAGACUGCUACUGUAAUUACAGAGUGGUUUCUACACCAGACAGAUAGACUACUACUGUAAUUACAGAGUGGUUUCUACACCAGACAGACUCCUACUGUAAUUACAGAGUGGUUUCUACACCAGACAGACAGACUGCUACUGUAAUUACAGAGUCAUUUCUACACCAGACAGACUGACUACUACUGUAAUUACAGAGUGGUUUCUACACCAGACAGACAGACUGCUACUGUAAUUACAGAGUGGUUUCUACACCAGACAGACAGACUGCUACUGUAAUUACAGAGUGGUUUCUACACCAGACAGACAGACAGACUCCUAAUGUAAUUACAGAGUGGUUUCUACACCAGACAGACUGCUACUGUAAUUACAGAGUGGUUUCUACACCAGACAGACAGACAGACUCCUACUGUAAUUACAGAGUGGUUUCUACACCAGACAGACAGACAGACUCCUACUGUAAUUACAGAGUGGUUUCUACACCAGACAGACAGACUCCUACUGUAAUUACAGAGUGGUUUCUACACCAGACAGACAGACUCCUACUGUAAUUACAGAGUGAUUUCUACACCAGACAGACAGACUCCUACUGUAAUUACAGAGUCAUUUCUACACCAGACAGACAGACUGUUACUGUAAUUACAGAGUGGUUUCUACACCAGACAGACUGCUACUGUAAUUACAGAGUGGUUUCUACACCAGACAGACAGACUCCUACUGUAAUUACAGAGUGGUUUCUACACCAGACAGACAGACUCCUACUGUAAUUACAGAGUGGUUUCUACACCAGACAGACUCCUACUGUAAUUACAGAGUGGUUUCUACACCAGACAGACAGACUGCUACUGUAAUUACAGAGUGGUUUCUACACCAGACAGACAGACUGCUACUGUAAUUACAGAGUGGUUUCUACACCAGACAGACUCCUACUGUAAUUACAGAGUGGUUUCUACACCAGACAGACAGACUGCUACUGUAAUUACAGAGUGGUUUCUACACCAGACAGACUGCUACUGUAAUUACAGAGAUGGUUCUACACCAGACAGACUCCUACUGUAAUUACAGAGUGGUUUCUACACCAGACAGACAGACUGCUACUGUAAUUACAGAGUGGUUUCUACACCAGACAGACAGACAGACUCCUAAUGUAAUUACAGAGUGGUUUCUACACCAGACAGACAGACAGACUCCUACUGUAAUUACAGAGUGGUUUCUACACCAGACAGACUCCUACUGUAAUUACAGAGUGGUUUCUACACCAGACAGACAGACUGCUACUGUAAUUACAGAGUGGUUUCUACACCAGACAGACAGACUGCUACUGUAAUUACAGAGUGGUUUCUACACCAGACAGACUCCUACUGUAAUUACAGAGUGGUUUCUACACCAGACAGACAGACUGCUACUGUAAUUACAGAGUGGUUUCUACACCAGACAGACUGCUACUGUAAUUACAGAGAUGGUUCUACACCAGACAGACUCCUACUGUAAUUACAGAGUGGUUUCUACACCAGACAGACAGACUGCUACUGUAAUUACAGAGUGGUUUCUACACCAGACAGACAGACAGACUCCUAAUGUAAUUACAGAGUGGUUUCUACACCAGACAGACAGACAGACUCCUAAUGUAAUUACAGAGUGGUUUCUACACCAGACAGACAGACUCCUACUGUAAUUACAGAGUGGUUUCUACACCAGACAGACUUCUACUGUAAUUACAGAGUGGUUUCUACACCAGACAGACAGACUGCUACUGUAAUUACAGAGUGGUUUCUACACCAGACAGACAGACUCCUACUGUAAUUACAGAGUGGUUUCUACACCAGACAGACAGACUCCUACUGUAAUUACAGAGUGGUUUCUACACCAGACAGACUGCUACUGUAAUUACAGAGAUGGUUCUACACCAGACAGACAGAAUCCUACUGUAAUUACAGAGUGGUUUCUACACCAGACAGACAGACUGCUACUAUAAUGAGAGAGUGUUUUGUAACCUUCGAAACCACCUCUCAAGGCCCUGAACCAACUCUACAUGGACAUACUAAAACAAAAACACAUGUUCUGAAAGGACUCUGGUUGUGUUACAGUCUGUUCUCUCUGUGGGCCAGUCACUUUGCUCACGUCAACCCAGAUCUGUCAGUAGAAAGGUAGAAAUGAAGCGUCUGAUCCAUCAAUGUAGCGAGGGGCCACACGACGUGUUUCCAUGGAGACUCAUGGUGCUAGGAACCACCUGUGUUUUUUUUUCCAGUGUUCCAGAACCGAAGCAACAUGUCGCACAGAACAGAACAUCAAUGCUGCAUUGACCAACAGAUGAUGUCAUGUCACACGGUGUUCUUCUGCUACAGCAAAGUCUCCUCCUGGUCGUCACUCUCUCUAGGACUGAGCUGCAGAGACGGUAUAGGAACUGGCAAUGACUCACCAGUCACCAGGCUUGCUGAUAGAAGCAAGAAUAAUGACUACUCAACUGGUCAAUCUGUACUAUUAAUGAACCUGGAGGCUAGGACAUGGGCAAUGAACCUGGAGGCUAGGACAUGGUCAAUGAACCUGAAGGCUAGGACAUGGUCAAUGAACCUGGAGGCUAGGACCUGGAGCCUAGGACAUGAUCAAUGAACCUGGACGCUAGGACAUGGUCAAUGAACCUGGAGGCUAGGACCUGGAGGCUAGGACAUGAUCAAUGAACCUGGACGCUAGGACAUGGUCAAUGAACCUGGAGGCUAGGACAUGGUCAAUUAACCUGGAGGCUAGGACAUGGUCAAUGAACCUUGAGGCUAGGACAUGGUCAAUGAACCUGGACGCUAGGACAUGGUCAAUGAACCUGGACGCUAGGACAUGGUCAAUGAACCUGGAGGCUAGGACAUGGUCAAUGAACCUGGAGGCUAGGACCUGGAGGCUAGAGUCUAGGCCCACUCACUAUCUGGACUAGUCACCUUCUGCUCUGUUUGUCUACUCUCCUCUUCAAGAAUCUCAACUCAUCUGUAUACAACUAAGGAAACAAAUCCAUCCACUGCUUGACAAAGGUUUUCCCUUCCCUUGGAUGUUAAGACAUAACCUGUCACACAUCACAUCACCACAGGUACUCUUCAGUAAGCUCCUAACAUCUCUUGAAACGUUAUCACAUUGCUCUAUUUUUUCCCUCGGCUCAUCAUGAGAACGUCGCUGAAGGCUCAUCAUAGCUUUGACAGCAGGGGUAUUGGUGGCUUUGCAAUUACUCGUGUCUAGCUUCAAUUGGAAAUGAUUAAGCAGAUCAUAGCAAAACAGUGUUUACGCUCCGAUCCCCGGCUCCCGCAUCAUAAUCUCCCAAUUAUCAGGGAAGGUUCGGCAAAGACAAGCAGCUGGGAUAUCGGCAGGCGGGGACAGACGGGGAGACGACACCCGCUUAACUUUUCAACGUUUCAGACGUAAACAUCAGCAGAAAAAGACUGUGACGGGAACAGGAACAGGAACAGGAAAGGGAGGGUUGAGAGUAAAGGGAGCGUGAAGGAACAGGAACAGGAACAGGAAAGGGAGGGUUGAGAGUAAAGGGAGCGUGAGAGUGAAUAACAUCUCGUGAUGUGAGUCAAGAUGUCAGGAAGAAGAAGGAUUAUCCGAUCAGUGACACUGUGACAUGUAUUCCUACUAGGGAGGAAGAUGGAAUAUGGGACUGUGGUUAAAUUGGUAUAGUGUCUGUAUGUCCCCUUUGAAGACCCUGUCCAGAGAUCAGGGCCUCGUUUCCCAGUUGCAAAAUUAUUUAAGCAUUACGAUCAGGACCUGAAACUAACUUUUAGCCACUCUGAUUUUUUUUACCAGCCAAAAUAUUUGUUCACUAUAAAACUAAAAACAAACCGGUUGAGCAUGCUUUGUAAUGUUUCUAAAAGAAUAAAUGUCUCAGUAGUAAGAA
Molecule: long non-coding RNA, 5711 nt
Organism: Salvelinus fontinalis (brook trout)
Lineage: Eukaryota; Metazoa; Chordata; Actinopteri; Salmoniformes; Salmonidae
Exons: 3
Source: RefSeq, a predicted model, not a curated record